RNAcentral lists this ribosomal RNA (652 nucleotides) under uncultured bacterium. Its description in RNAcentral is "bacterial SSU rRNA". It matches the Rfam family "Bacterial small subunit ribosomal RNA", at positions 9 to 668 of the family's 1533-position model. The record is from RNAcentral.
GAGUUUGAUCCUGGCUCAGGAUAAACGCUGGUGGCGCACAUAAGACAUGCAAGUCGAACGGACUUAAUUCAUUCUUUUAGAUUGGAAGCGGUUAGUGGCGGACUGGUGAGUAACGCGUGAGCAACCUGCCUAUUAGAGGGGAAUAACAGUGAGAAAUCAUUGCUAAUACCGCAUAUGCUUACACUAUUGCAUGAUAGAGUAAGGAAAGGAGCAAUCCGCUAAUAGAUGGGCUCGCGUCUGAUUAGCUAGUUGGUGGGGUAGAAGCCUACCAAGGCGACGAUCAGUAGCCGGACUGAGAGGUUGAACGGCCACAUUGGGACUGAGAUACGGCCCAGACUCCUACGGGAGGCAGCAGUCGGGAAUAUUGCGCAAUGGAGGGAACUCUGACGCAGUGACGCCGCGUAUAGGAAGAAGGUUUUCGGAUUGUAAACUAUUGUCGUUAGGGAAGAAAAAAGACAGUACCUAAGGAGGAAGCCCCGGCUAACUAUGUGCCAGCAGCCGCGGUAAUACAUAGGGGGCAAGCGUUAUCCGGAAUUAUUGGGAGUAAAGGGUGCGUAGACGGGUGUUUAAGUUGGUUGUGAAAUCCCUCGGCUCAACUGAGGAACUGCAACCAAAACUGGAUAUCUUGAGUGUCGGAGAGGAAAGUGGAAUU